Molecule: long non-coding RNA, 460 nt
Organism: Drosophila nasuta
Lineage: Eukaryota; Metazoa; Arthropoda; Insecta; Diptera; Drosophilidae
Exons: 2
Source: RefSeq, a predicted model, not a curated record
UAACGAAACCUUUCCUGCAAUACUUAAUCGUAUACAGACAACUGAAACAGAACAUUAUCUACAAUUCUGGCAUGUCGUAUUUUAUCUAGUUUGUAUUUUGGCUGUGAUCGGAGUUGCGAUAGGAAUAGUUAUAUUGAUUUACCUCGUGUGGAAUUACAUAAAAAAUUCAUUGUGAUCAAAGAAAAUCCCAGUUCGGUUUGGCUAAAAUCAGAUGAUGAAGUUGAAAAGGCGACGACGAGUUUAGUGUAUGAUGGCGCAACGUUUGGAUUUGCCGAUUUUUUAUGGUAUCUUCUAUUCAUAUCCCUGGCGAUUGCGGGUGUCAUGUGUCUUACAAUUUGCAUAUUCCUCAUUUGGGAAUUUUAUAUUCGUCGCGACUAAAAUAUGGGCAAGAUGCAUAGAUUUCUUUAAAACAAAAUUUUACUUUCACCGAGUUAGAAAAUAAAAUGCAAGUAGAAUUUAA